Molecule: ribosomal RNA, 1128 nt
Filed under: uncultured bacterium
Lineage: Bacteria
Description: bacterial SSU rRNA
Rfam family: Bacterial small subunit ribosomal RNA
Source: RNAcentral
CGUUGGUGACCUACCCCGAAGUGUGGGAUAACAGGCCGAAAGGCCUGCUAAUACCUCAUGUGGUCAAAAGGGUUGAAUACCUUUUGUCUAAAGGAGUAAUCCGCUUUGGGAUGGGCCUGCGUCCCAUCAGCUAGUUGGUAGGGUAACGGCCUACCAAGGCGACGACGGGUAGGGGACCUGAGAGGGUGACCCCCCACACUGGUACUGAAACACGGACCAGACACCUGCGGGUGGCAGCAGUAGGGAAUAUUGGUCAAUGGACGAAAGUCUGAACCAGCAACGCCGCGUGCGCGAUGAAGGCCUUCGGGUCGUAAAGCGCUUUUCUGUGGGAAGAGAAAGGACGGUACCACAGGAAUAAGUCUCGGCUAACUACGUGCCAGCAGCCGCGGUAACACGUAGGAGGCAAGCGUUAUCCGGAUUUACUGGGCGUAAAGCGCGUGUAGGCGGUUCGGUAAGUUGGAUGUGAAAUCUCCUGGCUCAACUGGGAGAGGUCGUUCAAUACUGCCAGACUAGAGGACGGUAGAGGAAGGUAGAAUUCCCGGUGUAGUGGUGAAAUGCGUAGAUAUCGGGAGGAAUACCAGUGGCGAAGGCGGCCUUCUGGGCCGUUCCUGACGCUCAGACGCGAAAGCGUGGGUAGCGAACGGGAUUAGAAACCCCGGUAGUCCACGCUGUAAACGAUGCGGACUUGGUGUUGGUGGUGUAAAAACCAUCAGUGCCGAAGCUAACGCGUUAAGUCCGCCGCCUGGGGACUACGGUCGCAAGAUUAAAACUCAAAGGAAUUGACGGGGACCCGCACAAGCAGCGGAGCGUGUGGUUUAAUUCGAGGCUACGCGAAGAACCUUACCUGGGCUUGACAUAUAGGUGGUAGGGAUCCGAAAGGUGACCGACCCCUCGGGGAGCCUAUACAGGUGAUGCAUGGCUGUCGUCAGCUCGUGUCGUGAGAUGUCCGGUUAAGUCCGGUAACGAGCGCAACCCUUGCCGUAUGUUACAUGUGUCAUGCGGAACUGCCGGUAUCAAGCCGGAGGAAGGUGGGGAUGACGUCAAGUCAGCAUGUCCUUUAUGUCCAGGGCUACACACACGCUACAAUGGUCGGUACAAUAGGUUGCAAAACCGCGAGGUGGAGCCGAU